RNAcentral lists this ribosomal RNA (440 nucleotides) under uncultured bacterium. RNAcentral describes it as "partial 16S ribosomal RNA". It matches the Rfam family "Bacterial small subunit ribosomal RNA", at positions 338 to 795 of the family's 1533-position model. The record is from RNAcentral.
CCUACGGGUGGCAGCAGUGGGGAAUAUUGGACAAUGGGGGAAACCCUGAUCCAGCGACGCCGCGUGAGUGAAGAAGUAUUUCGGUACGUAAAGCUCUAUCAGCAGGAAAGAAAAUGACGGUACUCGACUAAGAAGCCCCGGCUAACUACGUGCCAGCAGCCGCGGGAACACGGAGGGGGCCAGUGUUAUCCGGAUUUACCGGGGGUGAAGGGAGCGUAGACGGCAGCGCAGGUCUGGAGGGAAAUGCUGGGGCCCAAACCCGGAACAGCUGUGGAAACUGUGACGCGGGAGUGCAGGAGAGGUAAGCGGAAUGCGUGGUGGAGCGGUGAAAUGCGUAGAUAUCGGGAAGAACCCCGACGGCGAAGGCAGCUUACUGGACUCAAACUGACGUGGAGGCACGAAGGCGUGGGGAGCGAACAGGAUUAGAUACCCGGGUAGUC